CUACGGGGUCGCAGCAGUGAGGAAUAUUGCACAAUGGGGGGAACCCUGAUGCAGCAACGCCGCGUGGAGGAUGACGCAUUUCGGUGUGUAAACCCCUUUUAUAUGUCAAGAAAAUGACGGUAGCAUAUGAAUAAGCACCGGCUAACUCCGUGCCAGCAGCCGUGGUAAUACGGAGGGUGCAAGCGUUACUCGGAAUCACUGGGCGUAAAGGACGCGUAGGCGGGUUGGAAAGUCAGGUGUGAAAUCCUACAGCUUAACUGUAGAACUGCACUUGAAACUUCUAAUCUAGAGUAUGGGAGGGGGAGAUGGAAUUAGUGGUGUAGGGGUAAAAUCCGUAGAUAUCACUAGGAAUACCUAAAGCGAAGGCGAUCUCCUGGAACAUUACUGACGCUAAGGCGUGAAAGCGUGGGGAGCAAACAGGAUUAGAUACCCUCGUAGUC
This 440-nucleotide ribosomal RNA is filed under the name uncultured bacterium. RNAcentral describes it as "partial 16S ribosomal RNA". It matches the Rfam family "Bacterial small subunit ribosomal RNA", at positions 339 to 795 of the family's 1533-position model. The record is from RNAcentral.